UGCAGUCGAGCGGAACGAUCCCAGCUUGCUGGGAGGCGUCGAGCGGCGGACGGGUGAGUAAUGCAUAGGAAUCUGCCCGAUAGUGGGGGAUAACCUGAGGAAACUCAGGCUAAUACCGCAUACGUCCUACGGGAGAAAGCAGGGGCUCUUCGGACCUUGCGCUAUCGGAUGAGCUUAUGUCGGAUUAGCUGGUUGGUGAGGUAACGGCUCACCAAGGCGACGAUCCGUAGCUGGUCUGAGAGGAUGAUCAGCCACAUCGGGACUGAGACACGGCCCGAACUCCUACGGGAGGCAGCAGUGGGGAAUAUUGGACAAUGGGGGCAACCCUGAUCCAGCCAUGCCGCGUGUGUGAAGAAGGCCCUCGGGUUGUAAAGCACUUUCAGUGAGGAAGAAUGCUUGUCGGUUAAUACCCGGCAAGGGAGACAUCACUCACAGAAGAAGCACCGGCUAACUCCGUGCCAGCAGCCGCGGUAAUACGGAGGGUGCGAGCGUUAAUCGGAAUUACUGGGCGUAAAGCGCGCGUAGGCGGCUUGAUAAGCCGGUUGUGAAAGCCCCGGGCUCAACCUGGGAACGGCAUCCGGAACUGUCAGGCUAGAGUGCAGGAGAGGAAGGUAGAAUUCCCGGUGUAGCGGUGAAAUGCGUAGAGAUCGGGAGGAAUACCAGUGGCGAAGGCGGCCUUCUGGACUGACACUGACGCUGAGGUGCGAAAGCGUGGGUAGCAAACAGGAUUAGAUACCCUGGUAGUCCACGCCGUAAACGAUGUCGACUAGCCGUUGGGGUCCUCGAGACCUUUGUGGCGCAGUUAACGCACUAAGUCGACCGCCUGGGGAGUACGGCCGCAAGGUUAAAACUCAAAUGAAUUGACGGGGCCCGCACAAGCGGUGGAGCAUGGUGGUUUAAUUCGAUGCAACGCGAAGAACCUUACCUA
Molecule: ribosomal RNA, 928 nt
Filed under: Halomonas caseinilytica
Lineage: Bacteria; Pseudomonadati; Pseudomonadota; Gammaproteobacteria; Oceanospirillales; Halomonadaceae
Description: bacterial SSU rRNA
Rfam family: Bacterial small subunit ribosomal RNA
Source: RNAcentral